AUUUUUCAACAUGAUGAAAAAUUAGUGGCGACUAGAAUUAAGCCGUCAUGGAGAGUAGGGAGAAUUCUCGUGCCGUAGGUGGGUCGUCUGGAGGUCCUAGUGGUUCGCCAGGAGGUUGAUGGUUCUCGUAGGUUCUCGUAGGUCGGAGCCGGUGCUGA
Molecule: long non-coding RNA, 158 nt
Organism: Amblyraja radiata (thorny skate)
Lineage: Eukaryota; Metazoa; Chordata; Chondrichthyes; Rajiformes; Rajidae
Exons: 3
Source: RefSeq, a predicted model, not a curated record